AAGCAUGUGUGCACACUGUAUUUAUGGAUAAUGACUAGGCUACUGUACGAUAUCUAUCCAUAUACAUACAGCAAUCGGGUUGAACCUGGACUUCAUUAAAUCCUACAUAGCGUACGUAGUGGACAUGGUUUCCAGAUCUCGCUCUCUGGGUUUACAAGUGAGUGGGUGUGGGUUUAAAUAUCUAAUGGAGAAAAGGCAUUGCAGAAUCUCUCACCGGACGAGAAUAGCAUCGUUGUGUCCACCGCCCCCCACCCCACAACACCACACCCCACCCCACCCAUCUAACGGAUUUUUUUUAAACGGUUCUUUAUCGCUUCGGCAGCCAACACUCUGAGUUUGUCUUGACUCAGCCCAAAUCGCCACCAAAAACCGAUUCCGUUCUGUAUGUUCAUGGAUACAGCUCUUAUAAGUAUUUGGUUGGUCAGCGUGACAUUGGCUUCAAUGGUGGAUGACCUUGUGGGAUGACCCAUCUGUCGUCCUGGGCCUAAACAGUGGCAGUGAGAGAGCUAUGCAGAGCCUGAGUGCUCUGAUUCUCACCUCUGCAGAUGGUGAGGGCGCCUCACGUAAAAACAACACAAAGGUCAGAGGUCAGCGAUGUUGACUACUUGUAGCACAUAGCAAUUCAUGAAAGUGUUGAACCCAUAGAAAUUCAUGAAAAAUAUAUUUUAUGUGAAAGAAAAAGGGUAUGUUUUCACAUUAUCAUUUGUGCCAUCAGUAAGAACUUUAAGAUCGGAGCAUAAAAUGAGGUCGGUAGAUUUUAGGACAAAAUGUGAAGGCAGGCCUGGAGACAAAACGUGUCAAAAAGGAGCAAAAAAGUAGGUGACACCCUCUUUUUAAAGUGUUAGUAAACACACACAUUUUGUUGCACUAAACACACAGUCGAACACAUAAAACCCUGAGGAUUACUUUGUUGUUACGAUUGAUUUGACAUCAGUCGAUCAUCACAAAAACAAAGUAUAGUUUUGCUUUUUAGUGUCGUCAAAAUCUCUGGAAUACUUUAUGCAUGAUGAGGUCACAAUGUGGUUCUAAUUUUGUGGUUUGUGUUUAGUAAUAAAAUGACAAAUCAGUGACUAAAAUGGAUCAUUUUAGUAGCUGGGUAAUUAUAAAUGGCUUUGACAAGAUGAUGCAUUGGAAAUGAUGAAUGACAACUGCACGUUUUAAAAUAUGCACAUGUGUACUGUCAAUCAUAUUUCAAAGAUGUACAAACCGAAUCUCUGUUGUUCUAACAGAGUACAUCUGUGUAAUCACUUGCUAUUAGUUGAGUUAGUCUUCCUUCAGUCAUCCAUGCAACAGGUAAGGAAUUUUGGACUUGAUUUGAUGUUGCUUUGGAUAAAAGUGUCUGCCAAAUACUUAACCUUACACUUUGUAAAUCAGCUAUACACUACACAUAGAGCAAAGCAACAUGCUAGUGUAGCAUGAGAAGACUCUACACCAACAUUUUUCAGGCAGGUAAAAGGCAUUUUGACUUUUGAGGCCAUGGUCUUUUUUGUAUUAUUUACAAAUGAUUUUUGCCUGAUAAUACUUUGUCAGUUCAAAUCCUUAAACAUGUCUGAAAAUAUGCUUUGCAUACUGAUUAAAUAUGGUAAUUGUGGUAUAUGAUUUUGUGGUACAUGUGGUACAAAUAUAAAUAUGAUAAAAGUAACAGUCCAACACUGUGGACCAUCUGCAUAUGUCUAUUCCACAACUGUGUUAUCAUAUAAAUAUAUGUACAAAGGAUCGUAAGGGGAUAAGAUGUACAAUUUACAGAACCACUGAUAUUUCUGGGGACAGAAAUGUUUCCUUCCUGCUUAUAGCGAUCUCACACAAUACCACAUUGCUUCCACAACAAUUACUAAUUAAAUGACUACAUUGCCCAUAACUAGGUAUAUGUGACAUAAGCCAGAGUGUCUCUGUCAGUGUGUUACAGCCACUCGGUUACCCCUGAAUACUCAACUUAAUUGGGUGUAUAUCUUAAGCACAGGCAUUUCUCCUUCUAAUUAAAGAUUCAUGUCAGAGGCAAGACUAAAAGUCAUUAAUAAAUAAUAUGACUUGAAAUCAUACAAUUUACUGAAUACUUGGAGGAUGAAAAUCUUCCAGAUAAAAUUGUUGUUCGUUUCUUCCCACUGAGUGACCAAGACUAUUCAUCUAGUUUUUUUUGUUUUUUUUGACAAAGAAAGUGUUUAUGAGUCCAAUAAUGUGAGUGUAACAGUAAUGUAAGACAUGGCGCUGUAUUUGCAUAAUGAUGAUAGUGUGUGCAAUUACUUCACAUUCACAUUAAUCAGUUCAUUCAGACAUUUAUCACUGAAGGGACCAGAAAGUACAGAUCUCUGCAUUUAAAUCAAGCAGGAUUUGCUUUACAUGGACAAAAUCAUAUUUCAUCACCAAAAUAACAGAGAACCUCCAUUAAUUAUCGUCUUAAGUACAAAUUUGAUUAAAAUGCAUGAUUAGUAUGCAUCAUUUUUACUCUUUAUUUUACUCAAUAAAGCAAAAGGGAUGAGAAUCCUAAAAAUGUGCAUCUUUCUGAAUGGAAAUGGGAACAUCUGUGACCAUAGGUGGGAUGUUUUUUGUGACUUCGAUGGUAAAAUGGUACGUUAACUAUACUGUCUGCUCAAGUCGAACUGGCUUUGAUAUUUUAAAAUGAAAUAGCAUGGCUAAUCACCUAAAGAAAUAUUAAGCAGUAUGCCACAAAAAGGGUGUAAUGAUAUACCAUUAUAAUGAUGUCUGUAUUCGUCUUUGACUUACUGCGGUUCAAGGACAUGAACCAUUUCAGAGAUAUUUAUCCUUUGCACACAAAUCUAUAUCUUAUCUGCCUUUUUUCUUUCUUACACUUUUUUUCCUAUUCUGUCAUUCGUAUCACAGAUUUUUCUAACCAACAUGUCUUGAGGCUUAAGAUAAAACUAUUUUCAUAGCGCAUGAAAUCCUCAAUCAGUGACGGGUCAGAUGAAUUUCCACAAUCUAUUGGUAGCUGGAAUAUAAGAAUAUAUGACGAAAACAAUAAAGAAAGUCGCUUUUACUGUGUCAUGGAAAGGGACUAUCAGCAGAUCCAUCAGAUAAGGAGGCAUAAUUAAAAUGUCACCUCUCUUGGCAGUGGAUAGUCAUAAUCGAUCUACAUACAAUAACUCAUUACUUUUUGUAUUUCUAGAAAAACCUGAUGAAGAAAGUUAUCUGAGGUACCAAGGAAUGACAUGGAAGGAAGCCGUUUUAUUUUCAUAGAUGGUAUUAAAAGGUCUAUUGUUGUCAGACUUUUAAACAGACAAUUAAAUGACAACAAAAAAAGAGGGACGAGAAUGAACCUCUCCACAAUUGCUUGCAGACAGGUUGGUAUGCAGGGAUGUAGCCGGCGUUCUGCGAGAGGGUGGGUAGCUCUCCCCUAAAAUCAGUUGAUUUUAUGUUGUGCAGAUUAUCCAUGUUUUGAGUCUGUGUGUGGGAGUGUGUGUUUGUGUGUGCGAAAGAGUGUCCUCCAUGAUGAAAAUCAUGGACAUGAUUUCGACUCUAUCUCAGGUUGGGCUGGAUGACCCCCUCUGAGUGUGCCCAGUUAAAACACUACUGAGUCCGAGCCUUUUUUAGGUAGUCUGACAUGCCUUGAUGUUUUUGUAUAUUUCCCCUAAGCAAAAACAUUGAGGCAAAAGUGGCAUUUAUGAUUAUAUUCUAGAAGACCUCAGCAAUAAUAACAUGAGAGUAAAAGGAAUGUAGUAAAAAAAUAUAUAUAUUUAAAUCAAAUCUAAACAUACCCUUACAAAAACGACAUAUCCCUCGUUAGGGAGAGUGGACUCCAAAGGGUUUUAAGUAAGCCAACUAAUACUGAUACAUUCUCAAGAAUUGCCCACUAAUACUUGCAAUCCUAACUUAAAUAGUCUUCGGUAGGCGCUUUCAGACUGGGCUGGAGGAAGAUUUUUCAUAGUUCUUAGAACUGUUGAAGGAAGUAUCCCCUUUUUUGUGAGUCCACACUGCAACGAUCAUGGUGUGAGGUAGUCAUAAUAACCACAUAAUAACCACAUACUCAAUCUAUUUGGUUUGGAAACAACUAUGGAUGCAGUUUAGUGGAAAAAAAGGUCCUUUCAUUUUUAACUUAAACAUAUCCAAAAGCAUCAGGCCGUCAUGGAAUUUAGGCUUUAACAGCGUGCAUAUAUGGAAACAUAUUGUAUGGUUUGAGAUACCCGCUAAGGGUGAGGUAUAAAGUUAAAAGCUAAGAGGCAAUUCAAGCUGCAGAAAAGUGUGUGGAAUGCCCUGGCAUUUUGAGCAGUUCAAAUUUGUGUGCAAAAUUACAUAUAGGGCCCUGCCUAUUACACCAGGUAUAGAGCUCUUCUGAAGUUAACUGCUACUCAUUCUUUGAGUGAUAUGAUACCUGAUGUUGGUCAAACAGAUUACUCUAUACGUUUCAAUAUGAUGGUAUUGAUGGGUUUAAAAACUGUGGAGAGAAGAACAGAAUACAAAUGAAGCACAAAUACAGUAAAUAUCACAUGCACUAUUUUGCAAUGCCUUUGAUUCAUGGAAGGAAUUCUGAGAAUUCAUGAAAGAACUUACAUGGCCCAAACUCAUUUAGAUAGCACCGUAAUUAUUUUUAAUGAUAUCUACUAUUUCUACAGUAAGAACUAAAGGAAAAAUGUGUGCAAAUCUGGAAGGAUCAAGUAGGUUGGAAAAGAUUAAAUAUUUUUAUACAACAUGCUAAGUGUUAGCAUUCCAGUCAGAGGAAAAACAUAUUUUAGGGAAGGGAAAUGUUUAUUAUCAGUUGCCUGAAGUCAUACUACAGCCAUACCAUCAACAGAGGACUCGGCUGAAUGUGUCUCUGUGUCCGCAAACAGCCGUGGCUGGGGGCUGCUGGAGCCUCGUCUAGAAAUGCUACAAACAGCAUACAAAGGCAUGCUCCUUUGAUAUCUGGUAAGCUUUCAAAACAAAACAAAACC
Molecule: long non-coding RNA, 4883 nt
Organism: Clupea harengus (Atlantic herring)
Lineage: Eukaryota; Metazoa; Chordata; Actinopteri; Clupeiformes; Clupeidae
Source: Ensembl